GACGAACGCUGGCGGCGUGCUUAACACAUGCGAGUCGAACGGAAAGGCCCUGCUUUUGUGGGGUGCUCGAGUGGCGAACGGGUGAGUAACACGUGAGUAACCUGCCCUUGACUUUGGGAUAACUUCAGGAAACUGGGGCUAAUACCGGAUAGGAGCUCCUGCUGCAUGGUGGGGGUUGGAAAGUUUCGGCGGUUGGGGAUGGACUCGCGGCUUAUCAGCUUGUUGGUGGGGUAGUGGCUUACCAAGGCUUUGACGGGUAGCCGGCCUGAGAGGGUGACCGGCCACAUUGGGACUGAGAUACGGCCCAGACUCCUACGGGAGGCAGCAGUGGGGAAUAUUGCACAAUGGGCGGAAGCCUGAUGCAGCAACGCCGCGUGCGGGGUGACGGCCUUCGGGUUGUAAACCGCUUUCGCCUGUGACGAAGCGUGAGUGACGGUAAUGGGUAAAGAAGCACCGGCUAACUACGUG
This 468-nucleotide ribosomal RNA is filed under the name uncultured bacterium. RNAcentral describes it as "partial 16S ribosomal RNA". It matches the Rfam family "Bacterial small subunit ribosomal RNA", at positions 28 to 507 of the family's 1533-position model. The record is from RNAcentral.